RNAcentral lists this ribosomal RNA (495 nucleotides) under uncultured bacterium. RNAcentral describes it as "partial 16S ribosomal RNA". It matches the Rfam family "Bacterial small subunit ribosomal RNA", at positions 28 to 505 of the family's 1533-position model. The record is from RNAcentral.
GAUGAACGCUGGCGGCGUGCCUAAUACAUGCAAGUCGAGCGAACGGACGAGAAGCUUGCUUUUCUGAUGUUAGCGGCGGACGGGUGAGUAACACGUGGAUAACCUACCUAUAAGACUGGGAUAACUUCGGGAAACCGGAGCUAAUACCGGAUAAUAUUUUGAACCGCAUGGUUCAAAAGUGAAAGACGGUCUUGCUGUCACUUAUAGAUGGAUCCGCGCUGCAUUAGCUAGUUGGUAAGGUAACGCCUUACCAAGGCAACGAAGCAUAGCCGACCUGAGAGGGUGAGCGGCCACAGUGGAACUGAGAGACGGACCAGACUCCUAGGGGAGGCAGCAGGAGGUAAUCUUCCGCAAUGGGCGAACGCCUGACGGAGCAACGCCGCGUGAGUGAUGAAGGUCUUCGGAUCGUAAAACUCUGUUAGUAGAGAAGAACAUAUGUGUAAGUAACUGUGCACAUCUUGACGGUACCUAAUCAGAAAGCCGCGGCUAACUACG